This 74-nucleotide transfer RNA is filed under the name Chloroflexota bacterium. RNAcentral describes it as "tRNA-Gly". It matches the Rfam family "tRNA". Rfam says of the family: Transfer RNA (tRNA) molecules are approximately 80 nucleotides in length. The record is from RNAcentral. Lineage: Bacteria; Bacillati; Chloroflexota.
GCGGGAUUGGUGUAACGGCAGCACAGAAGCCUUCCAAGCUUCUAGAGACGGUUCGAAUCCGUUAUCCCGCUCCA